Molecule: transfer-messenger RNA, 397 nt
Filed under: Cytophagales
Lineage: Bacteria; Pseudomonadati; Bacteroidota; Cytophagia
Also listed under: 1 other name
Description: Arcicella sp014376355 Standard tmRNA
Rfam family: transfer-messenger RNA
About the family: Bacterial tmRNA, also known as 10Sa RNA or SsrA, is named for its dual tRNA and mRNA-like properties. Its role is to liberate the mRNA from a stalled ribosome. To accomplish this part of the tmRNA is used as a reading frame that ends in a translation stop signal.
Source: RNAcentral
GGGGUCGACUGGUUUUGACAGCAAGUCGAAUUGAAAAGUAAGCACGUCGAGAACUGGGACAAUUCUCGUAAAUAAAAGGUUUCAAACAUUUUACACGGCGAAGGAAACUACGCUCUUGCUGCAUAAUCUGAAUUAUAGUAAGAUGAGCCUCGUUCCUACAAGGUAGGAAAGUGAGAUUUACCUCGAAAGCUUUGGUUUAUGGCGGUCGAUAAAGGUGAAUCGUAAAUUUAAACCUAGAAAUGGCCAAGCUUCGGAGCUGUUUCGAAAUUAAGAGGCUAAGUGUUUUGUGGUUGUUUCUGACCGGGCAAAACGUCGAAAAUUCAAUCAGGAAAUAAGCGUGUAGAAAGUUUUUUAGUUGCUUGUUUGGACGGGAGUUCGAUUCUCCCCGACUCCACAA